Pseudomyrmex gracilis is the source of this 1795-nucleotide long non-coding RNA. RefSeq lists it as uncharacterized. Lineage: Eukaryota; Metazoa; Arthropoda; Insecta; Hymenoptera; Formicidae. The transcript has 3 exons. The record is from RefSeq and is a predicted model, not a curated record.
CACAGAUUUAGGGCACGAUCGUGACCCGCUCACAAUCCACGAUCGACGCUCGAAGCGAUCCUCGAUGGUACUCGAAAGCUUUCUGAGAUUUAUUGUCAAGAACACAAGUAAAAAAUAUAUUAGUUACAAGAGAUCGCAAGCUAAUAAAGAGGAUUGUUAUCGAAUAAAUAAUUCGUCAUUUCGAUAUCAAGAGCAUCACCGUGACAUCGUCAUUUAAUUUAGUUUAUUUAUUUAGGCAACGUUGCGGUGUCAGAGAUGCGUCGUGCCUGUGAAGUGCCAGACAUCACCUGUACGCUCGAAACACCUGUGUUAACGCACACGCGGGCGUGAGAUGGAUGCAUCAAAAUGGCCUCCGGUAUCGCGCAACAGCGGAGAUACUUUCGCCUCGACUAUUACUGACGGCCUCGUUUUAUUGUCACGUAGCGAACAAUUUUAUUUUAUAAACUCACAGUUUGCGCGUUUCGUUCUUAAAACAGCUUUAUAUAUUUCCGAUACGUGAAAUUCGCGCAAGCAGAGAAAUAUAUAUUCUCUGGUAUAAUAUAAACAAAUAUUACAUCCUACAAUUAUUGCUGAUAUUUAUGUAUAAUGUGCGAAUAUAGAAAUUGUAAGAGACAUUUAUGAAUUUAUAAAGCGCUACAGAGCAUUUAGCAAUUCAGGAACGUUGCUUCUACACGAAAAUCAAUUUUUGUCCUUCGCGAGCGCAAACAUGUUCGAAUCAAUAGACAUCGCUAUGUCGUAUCAUAGUCGACUUUCACUUUGUCACACAAUCAAUAUUUAUGAAUUUAAACUUGUAACUGAAGAAGAUCUCGGUGAAAAUUGAAAAUAUCAUCUCACUAUAUAUCGACAAAAUUUGAUUCAUAUUUAUUUACAUAAAUUUUCAGUUUAUUAUCUUGAGAUAAUUCCAUACCGUAAGUCGUAUUGGUCUUUUUGCAUAUGAUUUGUGUUUUAUAAGGCUGAUGCGGUAAGCUCGCGUACCUAAUGAAUUAAAAAAACAAUGUAAUAGAUAAAAGGAAGAACAUACGCGUGUAGAAAAAAAGUUCGUUUUCGAAAUAAAAUACAUAUGAGAUGGAUAAUGAGGCACUAAUAUUCUCAGGGACGUGUCGUAUCGCGUUUGUAUGACUCAUUCCUCCUAUCAACCAGCGAGGUAAAUGGUUGCUUCGUGCCAUUUCCUAUGUACCUUCACGUACAUAGGCGUAGGAAAAUUGUUCGUGACAACAACCCGUGUUUUCGAUCGAAGAAAUAUUGAAUUAUGUCCUUUUUUAUGCCUGAAACAUCUCGAUCUAAUCUUCUUAUCGUCUCGCACUUUCAAGCAAUACUUUCAGAAGAAAAUUUUUCAAUCACAAGUUUUGUAAUUCUUACAUUUAUGUGCAUUGAAUUGUUUUAAAUUCACAUUCUCAACUCAACGCUUGAGAUCCUUCUCUUCAAUAAAUAUAUUAUUAUAACAUUAAUGUUGAUGUUAUUUUUGCGAAUUGUAACACACACAGUAUUAUUUUUUCAGUCAUUGUCACGGAUGAUACACGGUUCUACGUGCUCUUUUUUACGUUACGUUUAUUACAAUGAUUAAAUCGCGCGUCUUUAAGGCGCAUCGCCACGCUUAUUCAGUUACCGGAUAUUAUGUGUUUUCCGCGAAGCAUGCAAAAACUUUACUCACGCGGAUGCAACACAUCGUUGCAAUUCGCUUCGUGUACCAGCGAACGUUGUAGUACACCUGGUACCGAAUGCAAACACAAUACGUACAGAGGCGUACAAUGCUUCAGGGUGUUGCCUGAUGUGGUAAUAACUGGAAUUUGAAUAG